AUGCUGAACGGGGGGAGGGAGGGCCUGUUUCAGCUGGGACAGCAGCUCCAGCAGCAGGGGGAGUACCAGGCCGCCCUACACUGCUUCCUCAGCUCUCUGCUGGGGUUGAGGCACGUGCAGAGCUUCACCUCGCUGCCCAACUGCCUGCAUCAGAUUGCUGAACUUUUCAUCUCCGAAAAUAAUUACGGCAAGGCCCUGCAGUUCAUUCAGGCUGAGAAGCUGUUCUAUGAGGUUGCUCUGAUCGAGCUCACUGCUGUUCAGGGGAGCACAGGCCCCCAGGAGGAGGCUUUGCUGGGCUCGGCGGGGACAGGAUGGGCGUCCUCAGAGGAGCUAUCGGAUCAGGCCUCCCAGGCACAGCACCUGGAGCAGCUAGCCCAGCUCUGCAUCGUCAGUAAAAGACCUCAUCUUGCUUUAGAGUACAGUGGGAAAGCCACUAAAAUCCAUCAGAGGGCCUUUGGCAACGACCACCCCAUCACAGACAGGAGUCUGGAGCUGCUGGCCACCGUCUACGCAGAGAUCGGCAAGACAGAAUACUCAGACUCCCUGGGCCAGUGUGUGUCAGUGCUGUCCAAGAGGUUUGCUGCUGCCGAGUCCUUCGGAGACAAACUCAACAACGGUCUUCCCCAUUCCCACUCCCAUCGGGAGAAACACUCCGAGGUCUGGCACAGGAAAGACCCCAGUCCACAGGAUGACACACCAAAACCGAAGGUCACCAACGGUAAAAUCCCUACGUCCAUACUGAAGAGGUCUGGCUCAGGAUCAGACUCGGAGCCCAGCCACAGACGGAAAGGCAAGCGACAGGUCCGCUUCCGGGAGCCUGAGACCACUGUGCAUGCCUAUGACACGUCACCGCCACGCCCCCACCUGGCCCUGUUCACCUGCUUGUUCCUGCUGAUGUCACUGCUGGGCGUGGUCAUGUACAGCACGGACCGCCGGCGCCCACAGCGUGUGUGUGAGGAGCUGGAGGCCUCACUGGCUGUCUACCUGAUACACAUGAAACAGCUGCUGUGGGGCUGCUGGAUCUGGCUAACCAUGCAGUGA
RNAcentral lists this long non-coding RNA (1041 nucleotides) under Salmo trutta (river trout). Its description in RNAcentral is "lncRNA (ENSSTUG00000005432.1)". Lineage: Eukaryota; Metazoa; Chordata; Actinopteri; Salmoniformes; Salmonidae. The record is from RNAcentral.